Molecule: ribosomal RNA, 862 nt
Filed under: uncultured Thermoprotei archaeon
Lineage: Archaea; Thermoproteati; Thermoproteota; Thermoprotei
Description: bacterial SSU rRNA
Rfam family: Archaeal small subunit ribosomal RNA
Source: RNAcentral
UUCCGGUUGAUCCCGCCGGACCCGACUGCUAUCAGAGUGGGACUAAGCCAUGCGAGUCAACGUAGAAAUACGUGGCGAACGGCUCAGUAACACGUAGUCAACAUGCCCAGAGGACGUGGAUAACCUCGGGAAACUGAGGAUAAACCGCGAUAGGCCAUGAUUUCUGGAAUGGUUUAUGGCUGAAAUCUAUAUGGCCUCUGGAUUGGACUGCGGCCGAUCAGGCUGUUGGUGAGGUAAUGGCCCACCAAACCUGUAACCGGUACGGGCUCUGAGAGGAGGAGCCCGGAGAUGGGCACUGAGACAAGGGCCCAGGCCCUAUGGGGCGCAGCAGGCGCGAAAUCUCUGCAAUAGGCGAAAGCUUGACAGGGUUACUCUGAGUGAUUCCCGCUAAGGGGAUCUUUUGGCACCUCUAAAAAUGGUGCAGAAUAAGGGGUGGGCAAGUCUGGUGUCAGCCGCCGCGGUAAUACCAGCACCCCGAGUGGUCGGGACGAUUAUUGGGCCUAAAGCAUCCGUAGCCGGUACUGCAAGUCUUCCGUUAAAUCCACCUGCUCAACAGUUGGGCUGCGGAGGAUACUACAGCGCUAGGAGGCGGGAGAGGCAAGCGGUACUCAGUGGGUAGGGGUAAAAUCCAUUGAUCCAUUGAAGACCACCAGUGGCGAAGGCGGCUUGCCAGAACGCGCUCGACGGUGAGGGAUGAAAGCUGGGGGAGCAAACCGGAUUAGAUACCCGGGUAGUCCCAGCUGUAAACGAUGCAGACUCGGUGAUGGGCUGGCCUUGUGCCAACCCAGUGCCGCAGGGAAGCCGUUAAGUCUGCCGCCUGGGGAGUACGGUCGCAAGACUGAAACUUAAAGGAAUUGGCGGG